RNA transcript from Spodoptera litura, 5861 nucleotides. It is a transcript of the gene named prostaglandin reductase 1-like, with no coding region annotated. Lineage: Eukaryota; Metazoa; Arthropoda; Insecta; Lepidoptera; Noctuidae. The record is from RefSeq and is a predicted model, not a curated record.
ACCUAGCCCUAGACAUUUUGGUGCCGUGACCAGGAUCAGGAUAUUGGAAAUUGUAUAUACCAAAGGAGAACAAAUUGAAGGAAAAGGCUAAGGAUACAAGGAGAUUAAGGGAUAUAAGGAAGAGAGAGUAUAGCAAAGGGAUAAUUAUAUACGCCAAAUUUGGUGAGCCCAUUCCUUUUUUUUCCAUCUACCUACUAAUAUUUUCCUAGUGUCGAUAUUUGAUAGAUUUUGUGGUAAAGUUUCUGAUAUUCUGGUGUUUGUUUGUUUAAAACGUGAGGAUUAUUUAAUUUAAUUACACAACGUAGGAUUUGUCGUAUUCAGCAAUGUCUUUAGCUUCCAAAAAAGCCGCAGAGCCAAUGAAACGACGAAGUUACAUUAAGGGUAGACUGACAAUUUUUAAAUCGUAUUUAGAGGAUAUUAACGAUCUAGAAAAACUAUCAGAUCAGCAAAUUUCAGAGCUACGAUUAAGAUUAGCUAAAUUAGAAGCGUGUUUCUCAACAUUUGAUGAUUUACAGUCCGAGAUUGAAAUUGAAUCUGAGGAUACGAGCGAACAAAUGAAAAUUCGUUCUGAGAUCGAAGGUCAAUUUUAUUCUUUAAUUUCUCAAGGGCAAUGCAUUUUAGACAAAUUAGAAGUUAAUGCUAAACGUAAAAGUCUAGUUCAUCAAUCCUUUAGACAAUCUGGAAGUUUCGAAAGUGCAGACGCAUUUACUAGUUCUAUAAAAUUACCCACAAUUAAGUUACCCACCUUUGAUGGGACUUAUAGCAAAUGGUUAGAGUACAGAGAUACGUACGACGCACUAAUUCAUAAAAACGAAAAUAUUGACCCAAUAAAUAAGUUUCAUUAUUUACGAUCCUCAUUAGAGGGUAGUGCGGCAUUAAUAAUCAACUCACUAUCGUUUUGUUCAGAUAAUUAUAUCCUUGCGUAUGACUUACUGUGUCAACGAUUUAACAAUAAAAGACUUUUAAUAAGUAAUCAUAUGAAAGCAUUAUUUAAUAUGGAAUGUGUUUCAAGGGAGUCUGAAAAAUCAUUGCGUUUUAUGAUUGAUAAUAUAACUAAGAAUCUGAGGGGUUUAAAGUCGUUGGAACAACCGGUAGAAUAUUGGGAUACCAUAAUAAUUCACUUAUCAGUAAAUAAACUAGAUAAUUCAACUUCUAGGAAAUGGGAAGAAUAUAAAAGUUCUAUAGGAGAUAUACCAACACUUCAAGAAUUCUUUAGAUUUUUACGUGAUCGAGCUGACGUAAUCGAAUCGAGCAAGUCUAGUAAAUUAAGUGGAAAUAGCAAAAAUGAAAGGACUACGAAUUUGAUUGCGUCUGCUCAGGUUAACAAUAAUCGUCCCUUGAAUUGUGUCGUUUGUAAACAAGAUCACCGCUUGUUCGAGUGCACGAGGUUUAUUUCUAUGAGUUUGACAGAAAGAAACGAAGUUGUAUCAAAAAAUAAAUUGUGUCUUAAUUGUUUUAAACCUGGACAUCGCGCGUUUAAUUGUAAAUCAUCUGGCUGUCAAAUAUGCAAGUAUAAACAUAAUUCCUUGUUGCAUAGGAAUAAACCUCAAACAACAGAUAAAAAUGUUAAUUCGAACAGCAGUGUGCAUCAGGCGAUAAUCGAACCGGGAGUAACCUCAAUGCCGUCCGAGUUGAUCACUGUGCCUAAGUCACAUGUGUCCGCUCCGGCGGCGCAGCUCGCCGCGGAACCGGUUUCCUUAUCUACGAUCGCCACUAGACACGUACUUCUUUCAACCGCGCUAGUUAAAGUAUUGAACAAAUUAGAUAAUAAAUAUUAUGUGGCACGCGCAUUGCUGGAUUCUGGUAGCCAAAUAUCGAUUGUAACUGUAGACUUAUGUAAUAAAUUAGGGUUGUCGCGCACAGGAACUGAUGAAAGUUUGAGUAUUUAUGGUAUAGGAAAUAGUAAAGUACAAGUAGCAAAUAGCUGUAAGUUAUUGAUAAACUCAAUGCAUAGCGAUUUUUCGGUAGAAGUUCACUGCAUGAUUUUGCCAAAAAUUACGAAUAAGUUACCAAAUGUAAAGGUAAAGGUAAAUGAAUUGAAUAUUCCCGGUGACAUAUUCGUGAAUUUAGCGGAUAGUAGAUUUUAUGAACCUGCCGACGUAGAUAUGUUAAUAGGAGCAGAUUUGUUUUGGGACAUAGUGACCGGCCAGCAAAUAAAGUUAGAUAAGGGUUUUCCCACAUUGCAGAAUUCCAAGUUAGGUUGGCUCGUCACUGGUCCAGUAUAUAGUAGGACUGCUCCACGGUAUGAGGUAAAAUGUAACUUAACUACAAGUUUAAGUGAACAAUUAGAAAAAUUUUGGAAAAUUGAAGAAGUCUUAAAUAUAAAUAAAAAGCCGUAUAGCUCUGACGAAGAAAUUUGUGAAAAACAUUUUGUAGAAAAUACCAUUAGAUUGAGUGACGGUAGGUUUUGCGUGAAGAUGCCAUUUCACACCUCUCCUUCCAUACUAGGCGAUUCGUUAGGGAAGGCUAAAUCACGUUUUAUUAAUUUAGAGAAACGGUUUAAGAAACAACCUGACGUGAAGAGUUCCUAUACAGAAUUUAUAAAGGAAUAUGAACUAUUAAAUCACUUGUCUGAGACUAGGAAGCCUGCCUUUGGAUACUAUUUACCGCACCAUCCCGUCAUUCGCGAAAAAAGUGAGACCACGAAACUUCGUGUCGUUUUCAACGCGUCAGAGAAAACGAGUAGCGGGUAUUCGUUAAAUGAUAUCCAAAUGGUAGGUCCAGUUAUUCAAGACGAUUUAUGCAGCAUAUUGCUCAGGUUUAGGCAACACAAAUUCGUCAUGACGUCAGAUAUUGAGAAAAUGUAUAGGCAAAUAUUAAUAUCGGAAAGUCAACGACAUUUACAAAUGAUAGUUUGGAGGGAUAGUGAUUACGAACCGUUAAAGUAUUUAAAGUUGAACACUGUUACCUACGGAACCGCGUCCGCUCCGUUUUUAAGCACUCGUUGUCUUUUACAGUUAUCACAUGAGUGUGAUGAUUUAGAGAUAAAGAAAAUAAUUAAGCGUGAUUUUUUUAUGGAUGACCUAAUUACUGGGCAUCAGACUGAGGAGGGUUUAAAUAGAAUUUGCCGAAUAAUUACUAAAACCUUAAGUUCAGCUGGAUUUAACUUACGAAAAUUUCGAUCAAACGCAUCUAAGUUAUGUUGCGAAAAUAAAUCAAAUGAAGUGCAAUCCAUUACUGAAUUCAAAACGGUUACUAGCACUUUAGGUUUAACUUGGUCGCCCGAGUCUGAUGUAUUAAAAUUUUGUGUACAAGUAGACAACCAUGAAAAAAUUACCAAGCGAAGUAUAUUAUCUUCUAUUGCAAAAAUUUUCGAUCCGCUAGGUCUUUUAAGUAUUUUUGUGAUUAAGGCUAAAUUAAUACUACAGAAGUUGUGGUUGGAUAAGUAUGGAUGGGACGACCUCGUAACGGGAGAAAUACAAACUUUGUGGCGCAACUUUAUUAAAACCAUGAAUUCUCUCAACUGUGUUGAAGUACCUAGGCAUGUCAUGUGUGCCGAGGUAGUACAUAUAGAACUUCAUUUUUUUUCUGAUGCUUCUAUGUGUGCAUAUGGGACAUGCGCCUAUGUGCGCUCAAUCAGUCGAAACGGAAACAUUCAUGUUCAAUUACUUUGCGCGAAGUCAAGGGUCGCUCCAUUAAAGGGUCUAACUAUACCUAAGCUUGAGUUAUGCGGCGCGUUGUUGUCCGCCGAGUUAGGAGAAAAGGUGACUCACUCCUUGCGUUGUAAUGUGGUUCGUUGUGUCUACUGGACGGAUUCGAUGAUCGUGCUCGGGUGGUUGCGUACCGAUCGCGCAGUUUCAAAACAAUUAAAGGUGUUUGUUGCAAACAGAGUAAUUAAAAUUAUAAAUUUAACAAAGGAUUGUGAAUGGCGAUACGUACCAACAGAUGUAAACCCAGCUGAUUACAUUUCCCGAGGCGUAGAUAUAAUGAAUGAUUCCGUGCAGAAAUUAUGGUGGGGUGGGCCACCCUUUCUAUCGUCAUCAGAGACUGAUUGGCCGAAUGUAGACAGGAAUAAAUUAAAAAAUGUCCAGUUACCUGAAGUGAAACUUGUAAGCACGUUGGUAGCAAAUGUAAACAUUAAAAAUGAUUUAAUUGAAUUUGAACGUUAUUCUAAGCUAAAGAGAUUACAAUAUACCAUGGCCUACGUCCUUAGAUUUAUAAAGAAUUGUAGAAUUAAGCAACGUGAAAAUAGACUUAGUUGUAGUUAUUUUAGUGUUGAUGAAUGCAAUGAGAGCAUGUUUUAUUUAGUUAAAUUGUCGCAGUUAGAUUCAUUCAGUAGUGAGUAUCAUCAGUUAUUAAUCAAUAAGCCCUUAAGUAAGAAAAGUAAAUUAUUAUCUCUUAGUCCGUUUAUGGAUUGUAAACUUAAAGUUAUGCGUGUAGGAGGUCGUAUUCGCAACGCACCUCUUCCCUAUGAUAAAAAGCAUCCCUUUUUGUUGGAUUCCAAUCACCGAUUAUCGAGGCUUAUUUUUGAAAACGAACACAUUAAGCUAUUUCACGGUGGAUGUCAAUUAAUGGUAUCAGCUGUUCGAGAACAAUAUUGGGUAAUUAAUGCUCGAAAAAUAGCUAGGAGUGUAGUUCAUAGCUGCAUAGUUUGUAAGCGAUUUAGGUUUAAGUCAAUAGCGCCUAUUAUGGGGAACUUACCCAUGCAACGUUUGAAGCCAGGGACGCCUUUUGAAACUUCUGGAGUCGACUUAGCCGGUCCAUAUCUCAUAACUGACAGGAAGGGUCGUGGUUGUAAAAUCAGUAAAUCAUACAUGUGUUUAUUUGUUUGUUUUGCAACUAAGGCUCUGCAUUUGGAAGUUGUCAGUGACUUGAGUACUGACGCCUUUUUAUUGGCUCUUAGGAGAUUUAUUUCGCGGCGUUCAAAACCUAAUGUAAUAUAUUGCGAUAAUGCGACAAAUUUUUUAGGCGCUAGCAAUGAACUAAAUAAGUUUUUAUUAACUAACAAGGAACAUAUAAAUACUUUUUGUUCAGAUGAAGGUAUGAAAUUCUCAUUCAUACCGCCAUAUGCCCCAAAUUUUGGAGGACUAUGGGAGGCAGGGGUGAAAUCGGCUAAAUUUCAUAUGAAAAGAAUAUUAGGAAACAAGCACUUGACAUUUGAAGAGCUUUCCACAUUAUUCGUUCAAGUGGAAGCCAUACUAAAUUCCAGACCUUUAUUUCCUAUGUCUUCCGAUCCUAAUGAUCUCCAACCCCUUACUCCUGGGCAUUUUCUCGUCGGUAAACCAUUGAUAGCUCUUCCCUCUCCUGACUUGUCAAACAUUAACUGCAAUCGACUUCACAGAUACGAACAAUUAGAACAUAUGAGACAAUGUUUUUGGAUGAGAUGGCAGCAUGAUUACGUCACUGAACUGCAACAUCGUACGAAAUGGCGGCAUGCGGAUAUACAAUUACAAAUUGGAGAUAUGGUCCUCAUUAAGGAUCUCAACUUGCCUCCCUUGAAAUGGAAAAUAGGGCGGAUACAGGACUUGCAUUUGGGCAAGGAUGAAGUGGCCAGAGUAGCCGACGUCAGGACAGCUAAUGGUACCGUUCGUCGUGCAGUAAAUCGCUUGUGCCCCUUGUUCAACAGCGAUAAUUGGUUGAAGGAGCAACCUUCAAGGGGGGAGGAUGUUGACGCCUAACCCUACGUCGAGAGCGGGGGGUCUGCCCGCCUUCCCCCCUCCUCGUCACGGAGUGUAUAUAUGGGAGUGCACCGGAUCAUCGAUCAUCGAUCGACGACUAGUUUUGUAUUCAUUCCGCUCAUAAGGACAAUUAAUAUUGUAAAAAGUUUAAAAGUAAUAAAUCAGAUGCCGAGUUAUUGGAAUAGCAGGUACCGAUGAGAAAUGCGAGUGGCUGGUCAAAGAACGAGGAUUUGAUAGUGCUGC